This 538-nucleotide ribosomal RNA is filed under the name Escherichia coli. Its description in RNAcentral is "partial 23S ribosomal RNA". It matches the Rfam family "Bacterial large subunit ribosomal RNA", at positions 655 to 1191 of the family's 2925-position model. Lineage: Bacteria; Pseudomonadati; Pseudomonadota; Gammaproteobacteria; Enterobacterales; Enterobacteriaceae. The record is from RNAcentral.
GAAUAGGGGAGCCGAAGGGAAACCGAGUCUUAACUGGGCGUUAAGUUGCAGGGUAUAGACCCGAAACCCGGUGAUCUAGCCAUGGGCAGGUUGAAGGUUGGGUAACACUAACUGGAGGACCGAACCGACUAAUGUUGAAAAAUUAGCGGAUGACUUGUGGCUGGGGGUGAAAGGCCAAUCAAACCGGGAGAUAGCUGGUUCUCCCCGAAAGCUAUUUAGGUAGCGCCUCGUGAAUUCAUCUCCGGGGGUAGAGCACUGUUUCGGCAAGGGGGUCAUCCCGACUUACCAACCCGAUGCAAACUGCGAAUACCGGAGAAUGUUAUCACGGGAGACACACGGCGGGUGCUAACGUCCGUCGUGAAGAGGGAAACAACCCAGACCGCCAGCUAAGGUCCCAAAGUCAUGGUUAAGUGGGAAACGAUGUGGGAAGGCCCAGACAGCCAGGAUGUUGGCUUAGAAGCAGCCAUCAUUUAAAGAAAGCGUAAUAGCUCACUGGUCGAGUCGGCCUGCGCGGAAGAUGUAACGGGGCUAAACCAUG